Molecule: non-coding RNA, 2151 nt
Organism: Pogona vitticeps (central bearded dragon)
Lineage: Eukaryota; Metazoa; Chordata; Lepidosauria; Squamata; Agamidae
Source: RefSeq, a predicted model, not a curated record
GAAGUGUUAUCACUUCAGACCAACCUAUAUUGCUUCGAUUGAGUGACACUCCAUCAGUGAAGAAGGAAGGUGAAUCACGUCGGACAAGUGCAGGAGCCUCCUCAAAUCCACCACCUGAAGUGGAUCCUGAUAUCAUUUUGAAGGCCCUGUUCAAAUCCUCGGGGACCUCUGCUUCAGUGCAGCCUACAGAGUUCAAAAUCAAACUUUGAGCAGUAAAAGGCGAGGAGUGGACUGGAAAAUUAGUUGAGCGUGUGAAAUGGAUAGGUGCAGGGGUGCAACUGUUCUGUUGCCCAUGCUGAAAUCUUUCGUUUUGGGUUUUUUUGUUUUUUUAUAUAAUUGCUACCUUCCUGUACAGUAGUGUUCUCCCUAAUGUGUAUGUUCUGUUUUCAUAGCUGGAGUUUUGUCCACAUAUUUCUAAAGAAUAAUCUUCCCUUUCUCCAGUAAGAAUAUGUCAUCAAGCUUACACCAUGUAAUUCCUUUAUUUUUUUUUCCCACCCUCUCAACCCCUUUGCAGUAUCCAUCCAAAAAAAAUGCACCUAACAAAGAUUGUGGUAGGCAUCUCUUCGAGCUUGCAUCCUUUGAAAAAAGAAAUCUUUUUUACUUAGUGAUAAAUUACAUUUCAUUUUUAUGCAACUACAUCUGGGGCUAAGGCUGCAUAUCUCAUGGCACUCUCCUGCAGUUCAAACAUUAGAGAGAGACAAGCACAAAUGUUCUGCUCAUGCAGGAGCUGACAGAAACACUUGAAAGCAGCAGAAGGAUGUAAAAGUACAAGAAUGCAAUGUGUCCUGUACUUUUUACUCAUCUUCCAUUGUCAUGGUAGUUUGCCAAUGCCCUGAGAGAAACCUGGCAUUGUUGUGAACCUUCAGUCCAACAAGUCUCAUGGAUACUUUUUCCAUAAUAAAACAUCUGCUUUGUUUUGGACAGCUGUAAAAUGUUUUUCUUCACUUUCUUGCGUCAGAUAUUACCUUCUCUCUAGCCUCUUAUUGUGGAUUAGUAUAUCUGGGAGAAAAGUGCUUUUGGUUCUGUUUUAUAGGAAGAAGAAAGAGCCACCUCUCUUGCAUGAUAUUUCACAACCACUGAAAAUGAGUAAAGGUCCUUAUCAUCCCAAAAUCACACUUUUAGGUGUUAUGCUGCAGGUUUGUGUUUUUGGAUACUACUCCCUGAAUUAAUGGCCUGGGGAAUUCUGGGAGCUGUAAUCCAAAUAGGUAUACAAACCUACAUACCUCUAGUUGGGAGGUAAGUGACACCACAGUGAAUGCCAUCUAUAGGUCUUUUGGAACUAGUUCAGUACAGCUUGUCACAAUUGUCAUUUGAUACAAUAUUAUUUUAGCUGGAAGUUGGCUCAAUCGUAUAUCGUAGGCAGGAAACAAUUCUUACUGUCAACUCUCAAGGGGUUAUCAGUUGUAUUAACUGCUUGAGUAAGAGUCUUCUUUUGCUAUGCGGCAUUAGUGCUGAUUUGUGUGUACUAAAAAGUGGAAAGUGCACCUUGUUGACCAGGAGGACCAUCUACCCACCAAUCUGAAAUAGAAGAGUGAAAAAAGUGGGAAAUGAAAGGACUUUCCAAGUAGCAAAGCAAAGAAGAUGCACUUCAUGUCCAGAUGGAAUGUUUGGGAGAUAAAGAUGCACUCUGUUAGAUAACAUCAUAUUAAUUCUGUAAAAUAAAAAUCUGAUAUUUUAAUUAAUUUUCAUUUUAUAUUAAAUCAAAACACAGAAACAAUCUCCAGACUCUGGUUGGGGAAUUGGAUUUUUGACCUUCCAACUAAAAGAUUUUAAGCAUUUCUCUUCAUCUGUGCUAAGAUCCCGUAGUGUAAAAAUAUCUGCUUAUUUCCAUUAUAGAAUCUACUCAGUUGGUUCGACUUUCCUUGUACUCUUUGUUCUGUACAGUUUCUUAGUUUAAUCUAGCAAAGACACGAGUUAUGUUACAUGGAGUUAUGUUCCCAAUGUGGUUUGCUAAUCUGGAUUACUGCUUUUGAAUUAAAUGUCACCUGUACUGGGGAAGGUGUGUUUGUAAAUGCCAGAUUUUUGUGUGUGCAGAACUGCUAUUCCCUGUACCAAUGUUUAAUUAGCAACAGUGGUGGACUACAGAGGGAGAGAUUGGGGCUGAAGGACACUAUGUAUUAUGUUUCUGAAUAAACAUUUGUUAUACAGAUA